RNAcentral lists this ribosomal RNA (292 nucleotides) under uncultured bacterium. Its description in RNAcentral is "partial 16S ribosomal RNA". It matches the Rfam family "Bacterial small subunit ribosomal RNA", at positions 505 to 796 of the family's 1533-position model. The record is from RNAcentral.
GUGUCAGCAGCCGCGGUAAUACGAAGGGGGCUAGCGUUGCUCGGAAUUACUGGGCGUAAAGGGCGCGUAGGCGGCGCAGUUAGUCAGGCGUGAAAUUCCUGGGCUCAACCUGGGGACUGCGCUUGAUACGGCUGUGCUAGAGGAUGGAAGAGGCUCGCGGAAUUCCCAGUGUAGAGGUGAAAUUCGUAGAUAUUGGGAAGAACACCGGUGGCGAAGGCGGCGAGCUGGUCCAUUACUGACGCUGAGGCGCGACAGCGUGGGGAGCAAACAGGAUUAGAUACCCCCGUAGUCC